Molecule: ribosomal RNA, 244 nt
Filed under: uncultured bacterium
Lineage: Bacteria
Description: partial small subunit ribosomal RNA
Rfam family: Bacterial small subunit ribosomal RNA
Source: RNAcentral
AGAAUCAACGCUGGCGGCGUGCCUAACACAUGCAAGUCGAACGAGAAAGUGGAGCAAUCCAUGAGUAAAGUGGCGACCGGGUGAGUAACACGUGACUAACCUACCCUCGAGUGGGGAAUAACAUCGGGAAACCGAUGCUAAUACCGCAUAACAUCGCAAGAUCAAAGCCGAAAGGCGCUUGAGGAGGGGUCGCGGCUGAUUAGCUAGUUGGUAGGGUAAUGGCCUACCAAGGCUUAGAUCGGUA